UGCCAGCAGCCGCGGUAAUACGUAGGGUGCAAGCGUUAAUCGGAAUUACUUGGCGUAAAGCGUGUGUAGGCGGUUCGGAAAGAAAGAUGUGAAAUCCCAGGGCUCAACCUUGUGACUGGCGGGCUAGAGUAUGGCAGAGGGGGGUAGAAUUCCACGUGUAGCAGUGAAAUGCGUAGAGAUGUGGAGGAAUACCGAUGGCGAAGGCAGCCCCCUGGGCCAAUACUGACGCUCAUGCACGAAAGCGUGGGGAGCAAACAGGAUUAGAUA
Molecule: ribosomal RNA, 267 nt
Filed under: uncultured bacterium
Lineage: Bacteria
Description: partial 16S ribosomal RNA
Rfam family: Bacterial small subunit ribosomal RNA
Source: RNAcentral